UUAUGGCCAUAUCACGUUGAAACACUGGUUCUAGUUUGAUCACUGAAGUUUAACCAUGUCAAGCCUGGUCAGUACUGAGAUGGGUGACAGCUUGGGAAUACUAGGUGCUGUAAG
This is a non-coding RNA of Acanthosepion pharaonis, 114 nucleotides long. NCBI's taxonomy places the organism in Eukaryota, Metazoa, Mollusca, Cephalopoda, Sepiida, Sepiidae. The record is from the annotation of a GenBank genome assembly.